AUUUUUCUAGUAUAAAUAGUACAUUUAACUUCCAAUUAAAAAGAUUGACUUAUAGUCAAGAAAAAUA
Molecule: transfer RNA, 67 nt
Filed under: Euthystira luteifemora
Lineage: Eukaryota; Metazoa; Arthropoda; Insecta; Orthoptera; Acrididae
Description: tRNA-Gly
Source: RNAcentral